This 292-nucleotide ribosomal RNA is filed under the name uncultured bacterium. Its description in RNAcentral is "partial 16S ribosomal RNA". It matches the Rfam family "Bacterial small subunit ribosomal RNA", at positions 505 to 796 of the family's 1533-position model. The record is from RNAcentral.
GUGUCAGCCGCCGCGGUAAUACGGAGGGUGCAAGCGUUAUCCGGAUUUACUGGGUUUAAAGGGUGUGUAGGCGGGUCUUUAAGUCAGUGGUGAAAUCUCCGAGCUCAACUUGGAAACUGCCAUUGAUACUAUUGAUCUUGAAUUUUGUUGAGGUAGGCGGAAUAAGUCAUGUAGCGGUGAAAUGCAUAGAUAUGACUUAGAACACCAAUUGCGAAGGCAGCUUGCUAAACAAAUAUUGACGCUGAGGCACGAAAGCGUGGGGAUCAAACAGGAUUAGAAACCCGGGUAGUCC